RNAcentral lists this ribosomal RNA (18 nucleotides) under Rhizosphaera kalkhoffii. RNAcentral's name for it is "partial 28S ribosomal RNA". The record is from RNAcentral. Lineage: Eukaryota; Fungi; Ascomycota; Dothideomycetes; Dothideales; Dothideaceae.
GACCUCGAUAGAGACGGC